Molecule: ribosomal RNA, 468 nt
Filed under: uncultured bacterium
Lineage: Bacteria
Description: partial 16S ribosomal RNA
Rfam family: Bacterial small subunit ribosomal RNA
Source: RNAcentral
GACGAACGCUGGCGGCGUGCUUAACACAUGCAAGUCGAACGGAAAGGCCCUGCUUUUGUGGUGUGCUCGAGUGGCGAACGUGUGUGUAACACGUGAGUAACCUGCCCUUCACUUUGGUAUAACUUCAGGAAACUGGGGCUUAUACCGUAUAGGAGCCUCUCCUGCAUUGUGGGUUUUGGAAAUUUUCGGCGGUUGGGGAUGGACUCGCGGCUUAUCAGCUUGUUGGUGGGGUAGUGGCUUACCAAGGCUGUGACGGGUAGCCGGCCUGAGAGGGUGACCGGCCACAUUGGGACUGAGAUACGGCCCAGACUCCUACGGGAGGCAGCAGUGGGGAAUAUUGCACAAUGGGCGGAAGCCUGAUGCAGCAACGCCGCGUGAGGGAUGACGGCCUUCGGGUUGUAAACCGCUUUCGCCUGUGACGAAGCGUGAGUGACGGUAAUGGGUAAAGAAGCACCGGCUAACUACGUG